Hevea brasiliensis (rubber tree) is the source of this 448-nucleotide long non-coding RNA. RefSeq lists it as uncharacterized. The record is from RefSeq and is a predicted model, not a curated record. NCBI's taxonomy places the organism in Eukaryota, Viridiplantae, Streptophyta, Magnoliopsida, Malpighiales, Euphorbiaceae. The transcript is spliced from 2 exons.
AUUACUCCACUCAAUAUCUUCAUCUUCCUCAAUUCACUCACCAUUGUCGAAAAUCCAAAACCUUUCAAUCCUCCCAUGGCCACCCAAAUGCAUGGCCCUUUACACCCAUUUUCAAGCUAUAUUUUCUUUACUUGUCUUCAUUAAAAGUGUUCUAUACAUCAUGGGCAGUAGAUAGGCAGUAAGAAAUGAAAGUUUUUGUGGAGUUUGAAGAAUUUCCAAAGUGGUAGACAGACAGACAGAGCAGCAGACUAGGCUGCUAGUACCUCCAGCGAGAGAUUUUCGGGUAUAACGAGUAUACCACAUUUUGCAUUUUGUACUGUAAUAUAUGUUCACUGUAUGUACAUAUUGUUUUUGGUUUUGAGCAGUUGUAAAUUAAAAUUGUACAUUGAAGUUGUAAAGUAAAUUAUGAGUUAUUUUGACUUGUAAAAAUUGUAUUAUAUUUCUUGUA